Molecule: ribosomal RNA, 476 nt
Filed under: uncultured bacterium
Lineage: Bacteria
Description: bacterial SSU rRNA
Rfam family: Bacterial small subunit ribosomal RNA
Source: RNAcentral
UCAGUCGACUCCUACGGGGAGGCAGCAGUGGGGGAAUAUUGCACAAUGGGCGCAAGCCUGAUGCAGCCAUGCCGCGUGUGUGAAGAAGGCCUUCGGGUGUAAAGCACUUUCAGUCGUGAGGAAGGUAGUGUAGUUAACACCUGCAUUAUUUGACGUUACCUACAGAAGAAGCACCGGCUAACUCCGUGCCAGCAGCCGCGGUAAUACGGAGGGUGCGAGCGUUAAUCGGAAUUACUGGGCGUAAAGCGCAUGCAGGCGGCCUGUUAAGUCAGAUGUGAAAGCCCGGGGCUUAACCUCGGAAUUGCAUUUGAAACUGGCAGGCUAGAGUCUUGUAGAGGGGGGUAGGAAUUUCAGGUGUAGCGGUGAAAUGCGUAGAGAUCUGAAGGAAUACCGGUGGCGAAGGCGCCCCCCUCGGACAGAUACUGACACUCAGAUGCGAAAGCGUGGGGAGCAAACAGGAUUAGAUACCCUGGUAG